CGACGGUUGUCCCGGUUUAAGCGUGUAGGCUGGUUUUCCAGGCAAAUCCGGAAAAUCAAGGCUGAGGCGUGAUGACGAGGCACUACGGUGCUGAAGCAACAAAUGCCCUGCUUCCAGGAAAAGCCUCUAAGCAUCAGGUAACAUCAAAUCGUACCCCAAACCGACACAGGUGGUCAGGUAGAGAAUACCAAGGCGCUUGAGAGAACUCGGGUGAAGGAACUAGGCAAAAUGGUGCCGUAACUUCGGGAGAAGGCACGCUGACAUGUAGGUGAAGUGAUUUACUCAUGGAGCUGAAGUCAGUCGAAGAUACCAGCUGGCUGCAACUGUUUAUUAAAAACACAGCACUGUGCAAACACGAAAGUGGACGUAUACGGUGUGACGCCUGCCCGGUGCCGGAAGGUUAAUUGAUGGGGUCAGCGCAAGCGAAGCUCCUGAUCGAAGCCCCGGUAAACGGCGGCCGUAACUAUAACGGUCCUAAGGUAGCGAAAUUCCUUGUCGGGUAAGUUCCGACCUGCACGAAUGGCGUAAUGAUGGCCAGGCUGUCUCCACCCGAGACUCAGUGAAAUUGAACUCGCUGUGAAGAUGCAGUGUACCCGCGGCAAGACGGAAAGACCCCGUGAACCUUUACUAUAGCUUGACACUGAACAUUGAGCCUUGAUGUGUAGGAUAGGUGGGAGGCUUUGAAGUGUGGACGCCAGUCUGCAUGGAGCCGGCCUUGAAAUACCACCCUUUAAUGUUUGAUGUUCUAACGUGGACCCGUAAUCCGGGUUGCGGACAGUGUCUGGUGGGUAGUUUGACUGGGGCGGUCUCCUCCUAAAGAGUAACGGAGGAGCACGAAGGUUGGCUAAUCCUGGUCGGACAUCAGGAGGUUAGUGCAAUGGCAUAAGCCAGCUUGACUGCGAGCGUGACGGCGCGAGCAGGUGCGAAAGCAGGUCAUAGUGAUCCGGUGGUUCUGAAUGGAAGGGCCAUCGCUCAACGGAUAAAAGGUACUCCGGGGAUAACAGGCUGAUACCGCCCAAGAGUUCAUAUCGACGGCGGUGUUUGGCACCUCGAUGUCGGCUCAUCACAUCCUGGGGCUGAAGUAGGUCCCAAGGGUAUGGCUGUUCGCCAUUUAAAGUGGUACGCGAGCUGGGUUUAGAACGUCGUGAGACAGUUCGGUCCCUAUCUGCCGUGGGCGCUGGAGAACUGAGGGGGGCUGCUCCUAGUACGAGAGGACCGGAGUGGACGCAUCACUGGUGUUCGGGUUGUCAUGCCAAUGGCACUGCCCGGUAGCUAAAUGCGGAAGAGAUAAGUGCUGAAAGCAUCUAAGCACGAAACUUGCCCCGA
RNAcentral lists this ribosomal RNA (1326 nucleotides) under Salmonella enterica. RNAcentral describes it as "partial 23S ribosomal RNA". It matches the Rfam family "Bacterial large subunit ribosomal RNA", at positions 1496 to 2802 of the family's 2925-position model. Lineage: Bacteria; Pseudomonadati; Pseudomonadota; Gammaproteobacteria; Enterobacterales; Enterobacteriaceae. The record is from RNAcentral.